This 784-nucleotide ribosomal RNA is filed under the name uncultured Acinetobacter sp. Its description in RNAcentral is "bacterial SSU rRNA". It matches the Rfam family "Bacterial small subunit ribosomal RNA", at positions 73 to 855 of the family's 1533-position model. Lineage: Bacteria; Pseudomonadati; Pseudomonadota; Gammaproteobacteria; Moraxellales; Moraxellaceae. The record is from RNAcentral.
GAGGUGCUUGCACCUUAUCUUAGCGGCGGACGGGUGAGUAAUGCUUAGGAAUCCGCCUAUUAGUGGGGGACAACAUUCCGAAAGGAAUGCUAAUACCGCAUACGUCCUACGGGAGAAAGCAGGGGAUCUUCGGACCUUGCGCUAAUAGAUGAGCCUAAGUCGGAUUAGCUAGUUGGUGGGGUAAAGGCCUACCAAGGCGACGAUCUGUAGCGGGUCUGAGAGGAUGAUCCGCCACACUGGGACUGAGACACGGCCCAGACUUCUACGGGAGGCAGCAGUGGGGAAUAUUGGACAAUGGGGGGAACCCUGAUCCAGCCAUGCCGCGUGUGUGAAGAAGGCCUUAUGGUUGUAAGCACUUUAAGCGAGGAGGAGGCUACUGAGACUAAUACUCUUGGAUAGUGGACGUUACUCGCAGAAUAAGCACCGGCUAACUCUGUGCCAGCAGCCGCGGUAAUACAGAGGGUGCGAGCGUUAAUCGGAUUUACUGGGCGUAAAGCGUGCGUAGGCGGCUUUUUAAGUCGGAUGUGAAAUCCCCGAGCUUAACUUGGGAAUUGCACUCGAUACUGGGAAGCUAGAGUAUGGGAGAGGAUGGUAGAAUUCCAGGUGUAGCGGUGAAAUGCGUAGAGAUCUGGAGGAAUACCGAUGGCGAAGCAGCCAUCUGGCCUAAUACUGACCUGAGGUACGAAAGCUGGGGAGCAAACAGGAUUAGAUACCCUGGUAGUCCAUGCCGUAAACGAUGUCUACUAGCCGUUGGGGCCUUUGAGGCUUUUAGUGGCGCAGCUUA